This 250-nucleotide ribosomal RNA is filed under the name uncultured bacterium. RNAcentral describes it as "partial 16S ribosomal RNA". It matches the Rfam family "Bacterial small subunit ribosomal RNA", at positions 30 to 280 of the family's 1533-position model. The record is from RNAcentral.
AUUGAGCGCUGGCGGAAUGCUUUACACAUGCAAGUCGAACGGCAGCACGGACUUCGGUCUGGUGGCGAGUGGCGAACGGGUGAGUAACAUAUCGGAACGUAUCCAAUAAUGGGGGAUAACUAAUCGAAAGGUUAGCUAAUACCGCAUACGCCCUACGGGGGAAAGCUAGGGACCUUCGGGCCUGGCGUUAAUGGAGCGGCCGAUAUCUGAUUAGCUAGUUGGUGGGGUAAAGGCCCACCAAGGCGACGAU